This 758-nucleotide ribosomal RNA is filed under the name uncultured bacterium. Its description in RNAcentral is "bacterial SSU rRNA". It matches the Rfam family "Bacterial small subunit ribosomal RNA", at positions 8 to 796 of the family's 1533-position model. The record is from RNAcentral.
AGAGUUUGAUCAUGGCUCAGAAUCAACGCUGGCGGCGUGCCUAACACAUGCAAGUCGAACGAGAAAGUGGUAGCAAUACCAUGAGUAAAGUGGCGCACGGGUGAGUAACACGUGACUAACCUACCCUGGAGUGGGGGAUAACUGAGGGAAACCUUAGCUAAUACCGCAUAACACCUACGGGUCAAAGGAGCAAUUCGCUUCAGGAGGGGGUCGCGGCAGAUUAGCUAGUUGGCGGGGUAAUGGCCCACCAAGGCAGUGAUCUGUAUCCGGCCUGAGAGGGCGCACGGACACACUGGAACUGAAACACGGUCCAGACUCCUACGGGAGGCAGCAGUGGGGAAUUUUGCGCAAUGGGGGAAACCCUGACGCAGCAACGCCGCGUGGAGGAUGAAGUCCUUCGGGACGUAAACUCCUUUCGAUCGGGACGAUUAUGACGGUACCGAGAGAAGAAGCCCCGGCUAACUUCGUGCCAGCAGCCGCGGUAAUACGAGGGGGGCGAGCGUUGUUCGGAAUCACUGGGCGUAAAGGGCGUGUAGGCGGUCAAGUAAGUGGGAUGUGAAAUCCCUCGGCUCACCCGAGGACCUGCAUCCCAAACUGCUUGGCUUGAGUAUGGGAGAGGAUGAGGGAAUUCCUGGUGUAGCGGUGAAAUGCGUAGAUAUCAGGAGGAACACCGGUGGCGAAGGCGCUCAUCUGGCCCAAUACUGACGCUGAUGCGCGAAAGCUAGGGGAGCAAACGGGAUUAGAUACCCUAGUAGUCC